RNAcentral lists this ribosomal RNA (440 nucleotides) under uncultured soil bacterium. RNAcentral's name for it is "bacterial SSU rRNA". It matches the Rfam family "Bacterial small subunit ribosomal RNA", at positions 26 to 480 of the family's 1533-position model. The record is from RNAcentral.
AGGAUGAACGCUGGCGGCGUGCUUAACACAUGCAAGUCGAACGGUGAAGCAGGAGCUUGCUCCUGUGGAUCAGUGGCGAACGGGUGAGUAACACGUGAGAAAUCUGCCCUGGACUCUGGGAUAAGCGUUGGAAACGACGUCUAAUACCGGAUACGAGCUUCAGCCGCAUGGCUAGGAGCUGGAAAGACUUCGGUCCAGGAUGAUCUCGCGGCCUAUCAGCUAGUUGGUGAGGUAACGGCCCACCAAGGCGACGACGGGUAGCCGGCCUGAGACGGGUGACCGGCCACGACUGGGACUGAGACACGGCCCAGACUCCUACGGGAGCAGCAGUGGGAAUAUGCACAAGUGGAGCAAGCCUGAUGCAGCAACGCCGCGUAGAGGGACGACGGCCUUGGUUACGUAAACCUCGUUUAGUAGGAAGAAGCGAAAGUGACGUACCU